RNAcentral lists this ribosomal RNA (364 nucleotides) under uncultured Pseudomonas sp. RNAcentral's name for it is "bacterial SSU rRNA". It matches the Rfam family "Bacterial small subunit ribosomal RNA", at positions 1019 to 1382 of the family's 1533-position model. Lineage: Bacteria; Pseudomonadati; Pseudomonadota; Gammaproteobacteria; Pseudomonadales; Pseudomonadaceae. The record is from RNAcentral.
GGGGGACGAGGGUGGACAGGUGGUGCAUGGUUGUCGUCAGCUCGUGUCGUGAGAUGUUGGGUUAAGUCCCGCAACGAGCGCAACCCUUGUCCUUAGUUACCAGCACGUUAUGGUGGGCACUCUAAGGAGACUGCCGGUGACAAACCGGAGGAAGGUGGGGAUGACGUCAAGUCAUCAUGGCCCUUACGGCCUGGGCUACACACGUGCUACAAUGGUCGGUACGAAGGGUUGCCAAGCCGCGAGGUGGAGCUAAUCCCAUAAAACCGAUCGUAGUCCGGAUCGCAGUCUGCAACUCGACUGCGUGAAGUCGGAAUCGCUAGUAAUCGUGAAUCAGAAUGUCACGGUGAAUACGUUCCCGGGCCUU